UGAGGAAUAUUGCACAAUGGACGAAAGUCUGAUGCAGCAACGCCGCGUGGAGGAUGAAGGUCUUUGGAUUGUAAACUCCUUUUCUCAGGGAAGCGGUACCUGAGGAAUAAGUCACGGCUAACUACGUGCCAGCAGCCGCGGUGAUACGUAGGUGGCGAGCGUUAUCCGGAAUUACUGGGCGUAAAGCGCACGCAGGCGGUCUGUUAAGUUUGACGUGAAAGCUCCCGGCUUAACUGGGAGAGGUCGUUGAAGACUGGCAGACUUGAGGCAAUGAGAGGGGUGUAGAAUUCCCGGUGUAGUGGUGGAAUGCGUAGAUAUCGGGAGGAAUACCAGUGGCGAAAGCGGCACCCUAGCGUUGUACUGACGCUCAUGUGCGAAAGCGUGGGGAGCGAACGGGAUUAGAUACCCUGGUAGU
RNAcentral lists this ribosomal RNA (415 nucleotides) under uncultured bacterium. RNAcentral's name for it is "bacterial SSU rRNA". It matches the Rfam family "Bacterial small subunit ribosomal RNA", at positions 355 to 794 of the family's 1533-position model. The record is from RNAcentral.